Drosophila rhopaloa is the source of this 1582-nucleotide RNA transcript. It is a transcript of the gene named deoxynucleoside triphosphate triphosphohydrolase SAMHD1, with no coding region annotated. The record is from RefSeq and is a predicted model, not a curated record. The transcript has 6 exons. Lineage: Eukaryota; Metazoa; Arthropoda; Insecta; Diptera; Drosophilidae.
UUACAGUUGUGUUUGUGUGCUUGACGAAUCAAAAAUUCGCCAUAAAGUUUGUAAUGACGUUCCUGAUAUAAUUUAUAAAGCACAAAUCGGCGGGAAGACAACAUUCAAAACGACGUGCUGCUCGCAUUUUCGGUUUUAUUUCGGACGCGGAUUGUCGACAAACAGGAAUCCGUUUAGAAUGUCUACCAGCGCUGUAAUUCGUUCCCCCGUACAGCGUCGGCGCCCCCUCCCCAUUCCCCUCGACUCAACAAACUUGAAAUGCCCGCUUCUUCAGCAACAACAACAACAACAUGGACAACAAUCGAUGCUUAUUGAAGAUGAGGUACACGGAGUAAUUGAGCUGCCCGGCCUUAUACAAGAAAUAGUGGAGCAUCCUCUGUUUCAGCGUCUAAAGCAGGUUCAUCAAUUGGGUCUUAUACCGUGGUCAGUCGAUAAGAAAGCUAAUCACAAGCGCUACGAUCAUUGCCUUGGGGCCUACAAAAGUGCCCAGGAUCACCUGAGGGCCAUCGAACGAAAUUCGCAUUAUGAGCCAAAACUUCCGGAUUGGUGUCGUCAGGCAGUGGAGAUAGCCGCCCUUCUUCACGAUAUUGGACAUGGACCGAUGUCACAUGUCUGGGAGCUUUUAAGUCAUCAUCAAUUUAAUCACGAGGAGAACGCCUUAGCCUGUGUGGAUCUUAUUUUCAAUGAUGCCUCUAAUCAGGAGCUGGUCUCCUUGAGGGAAGAUGGAAGUGGCAGGGGAGUUCAAUUGAUAAAAGCUCUGAUCCUCGGGAGCAGUGACUCCCUUUCGUUUCCCAUGAUGGGUCAUACCUAUAUCUUUGAUAUUGUUCAUAAUCGUCGCUGCGGAUUAGAUGUCGAUAAAUGGGAUUAUCUGCGGCGUGAUAACAAACGCUUGCAAAUUCUCAGCUCAGCCGAAAUGGAUUUUGAUGAUGUAUUUCUUAAGGCCCGCAUAUCGGCAGAUGGCCAACGCAUAGAGUAUCGGUACCAGGAUUAUCAUCGCAUAUACCGCUUGUUCGAGGCAAGAACGCGUCUUCAUAUUGCUGCUUAUCAAUGUCCCCUGACAUGUGCGAUGGAUGUUAUUUUUGUCAAUGCAGUACAACGUUUGGCCCCAGAACUAUUGAACAUUCGAUCCAAGGACCCAGAUUGGCUUAAACUACAUGAUGAUCAUAUUUUAAAUAUUAUUGAAAUGGAUCCCAUAUCGAGAUAUUUAAGAGAGCCGCAACGAAUUAUAGAAGUAUCCGGCAAUGACUGUUCCGAAUCAAACAUCAUACGUGUGAACAGAAGAAUACCUGUAGCUUGGGAGGCUAUGAAAUCAGAAGAGGCUUUCGCUUUUUUUGGCAACAAGCGCAAGAAGCGUCCAAUUAAUCGAUGCGUGAACCCGACAAUAAUCAACAAGUGCUAUAAGUUAGAGUAAAAACUCAAACAAAGAAUUCCCAGUUCAUAUAUUCAUUCAUGUUAAAGCCGUCAACCAAACUAUGUAUUAAUACUCGUAAGGUUGCGCUGGGCAUUGCGAAAGUAACCAUUGCAUUCACAUUUUGUUAUCUGUUAUUUUGUUAAAUAUCGUUGAUUUCAUCAGUUAUGCAAA